This 339-nucleotide ribosomal RNA is filed under the name uncultured soil bacterium. RNAcentral's name for it is "bacterial SSU rRNA". It matches the Rfam family "Bacterial small subunit ribosomal RNA", at positions 26 to 361 of the family's 1533-position model. The record is from RNAcentral.
AGAGUGAACGCUGGCGGCAGGCCUAAUACAUGCAAGUCGAACGGCAGCACGGCAGAGCUUGCUCUGUGGGUGGCGAGUGGCGGGCGGGUGAGGAAUACAUGGGAAUCUGCCCAGUCGUGGGGGAUAACGUAGGGAAACUUACGCUAAUACCGCAUGCGCCCUUCGGGGGAAAGCCGGGGACCUUCGGGCCUCGCGCCAUUAGAUGAGCCUAGGUCGGAUUAGCUAGUUGGUGAGGUAAUGGCUCACCAAGGCGACGAUCCGUAACUGGUCUGAGAGGAUGAUCAGUCACGCUGGAACUGAGACACCGGUCCAGACUCCUACGGGAGCAGCAGGUGGGAA